Molecule: RNA transcript, 3874 nt
Organism: Cucumis melo (muskmelon)
Lineage: Eukaryota; Viridiplantae; Streptophyta; Magnoliopsida; Cucurbitales; Cucurbitaceae
Gene name: xyloglucan galactosyltransferase MUR3
Exons: 3
Source: RefSeq, a predicted model, not a curated record
UCACAGUUUCACGGCGUCCCCAUUUCUUCUUUAUAUUUUACUUCGCUUACUUCCUUCCCAUUUUCUCUCUCUCUCUCUCUCUCUCUCUCGAAAAUCCUAAAGAACCAAAACAAAAUUUCACUCCAAAUUUUCUCUCAACAAUCAGAAUCACUACUCUUUAUUUCGAUUGUUUUUUGUUCGCAUCGGAAUUCAUAGUCGAAGUCGAACGAGCUAUUUGACCAUUGGAGACGGUGUUUUUUUUCUUCUCCUUUGUUGAUUUUGGAUUUUGGAGAUGGAUUUGUGAGUGAUUCCUGCGAAAUGGAGACCUGGCGGUUUUCUGGAUUUGGUGAUUGUGAUUCCAUCCGAUGAGACGCCGCCCGGUAGUGAUUGCCCCGUUGGAGCAUAUGGAGAGAGGAGCCGGGAAGAAUCAGAACUCUCGGCUUUGUUUUUUAGCGUUGUUGUCGGCGUUUUUCUGGAUCCUAUUAUUGUACUUUCAUUUUGUGGUGCUUGGAGGUCACUCUGUUGAUGAAUCAAUCACAUUAAACCCUGAAGAUGGACCUGUUAACUUGCCUGUAGUCCGGAAGUUUGCCCCUUCUCGUGUAGUAGAUGCGCCGAAAAUUGAUGUGAAAUCAAUUCGUGAGCCUCCGAAGCCUGUUGAUCGGGAGCCUAAGUUCACUGCCAAACCUGAGAUUCAGACAUUUCCGUUCGUUAAAGCAUUGAAAACUGUUGAAAAUAAGAGUGAUCCAUGUGGCGGGAGGUAUAUAUUUGUUCAUGAUCUUCCUUCUAGGUUUAAUGAGGAUAUGUUGAAGGAGUGUAAGAGUCUAAGCCUUUGGACAAAUAUGUGCAAGUUCACAACUAAUGCUGGGCUUGGUCCACCACUUGAAAAUGUGGAAGGAGUGUUUUCAGAUACAGGCUGGUAUGCAACAAAUCAGUUUGCGGUCGAUGUGAUUUUCAGUAAUCGAAUGAAGCAAUAUGAUUGUUUGACUAAGGAUUCUUCCAUUGCUGCUGCUUUCUUCGUGCCAUUUUAUGCUGGGUUUGAUAUUGCGAGAUACCUUUGGGGAUAUAAUAUAUCUACUAGAGAUAGAGCUUCACUUGAUUUGGUGAACUGGCUCGAGAAAAGGCCCGAAUGGGGCAUUAUGGGCGGUCGAGAUCACUUCCUUGUUGCUGGUAGGAUCACAUGGGAUUUCAGGAGGCUUUCUGAGGAAGAAAGAGAUUGGGGAAACAAGCUUCUGUUUUUACCUGCUGCUAAGAACAUGUCCAUGCUUGUAGUUGAAUCAAGCCCAUGGAAUGCCAAUGAUUUUGGUAUUCCAUAUCCAACAUAUUUCCAUCCUGCAAAGGAUUCUGAUGUCUUUAUUUGGCAGGAUCGGAUGAGAAAACUCGAACGGAAAUGGGUGUUCUCUUUCGCAGGUGCUCCACGCCCCGACAAUCCCAAGUCAAUAAGAGGGCAGAUUAUUGAUCAAUGUAAGAAUUCUAAGGUCUGCAAGCUGCUGGAAUGCGAUUUUGGGGAGAGCAAGUGCCAUUCUCCUAGUAGUAUAAUGCAAAUGUUUCAGAGCUCUCUUUUCUGCCUGCAACCUCAGGGCGAUUCAUACACCAGAAGAUCUGCUUUCGAUGCGAUGUUAGCCGGUUGCAUACCUGUCUUCUUCCAUCCGGGAUCAGCAUACACCCAAUAUACUUGGCAUCUCCCAAAGAAUUUUACAAGAUAUUCAGUAUUCAUCCCAGAGGAUGAUAUCCGCAAGAGGAACAUUAGCAUAGAAGAAAGGCUUGCUCAAAUUUCACCUGAGCAGCUGAAGCUAAUGCAGGAGGAGGUCAUCUCUAUGAUUCCAAGAUUGGUAUAUGCUGAUCCGCGCUCCAAGUUGGAAACCUUGAAAGAUGCUUUUGAUGUCUCUGUGCAAGCGAUUAUCAACAAGGUGACAAAGUUGAGGAAAGACAUAAUUGAAGGGCACACCAAUGACAAUUUUAUCGAGGAGAAUAGUUGGAAAUAUGAGUUACUGGAAGAUGGGCAGCGGGAAGUUGGACCUCAUGAAUGGGAUCCUUUCUUCUCUAAACCAAAGGAUGGGGAUUCUGGUGAUACGUCGGCCGAAGCUGCAAAAAAUUCAUGGAAAAAUGAGCAGAGAGACAAAUCAUGAAACUGAUCGGCUGAAGUUGAUUGAUACGUCAGUAAACAUACCAUUGGCGGUUAAUUAGCUCAAAUAGAAGCCUAAAGAAAAGCUUCCAGCAUCAAACCAAGGACUUCUUUUUAUAGAUUGAAAGCUUAAUCAUCCUCCAGCUAAACAGGGCUGCCCUUCAAAAACAAAGCACUGCUCCGUAUACAUUGGAUAGAAGCACGAAAUCACCAUCGUGCGAAGAGCUUAUCUUGGAAAUCUUCGCCUUCACCUUUUCAACUAAAUUGAGAUUGUUAUGAUUCACACACGCUCCAAGAAGAGUCCUCCAGAUGAUUGAAUCUGGUUUCAUUGGCAUUCUUUCAACAAAUUCAUAAGCUUCAUUCAAUAGGCCUGCCCGACCAAGAAGAUCAACCAUACAACCAUAAUGCUCUAGAAGAGGAUCCAUCCGAUAGACUUUCCGAAUGCUUUCAAAAAUGUCCCUACCUUCUUUUACAAGACCGCCAUGGCUACAAGCUACUAAGACACCAGUGAACGUAAUAUAAUCUGGUUGAACCCCUGAAUUUCUCAUGCUAUGAAACAUUGCUAAAGCCUCCGUGCUACGCCCGUGAACCCCAAGCCCAUUGAUUAGGGUCGUCCAUGUCAAUACAUUCCUCACUGCCAUUUCUUCGAAUACAACAAUUGAUUCAUCAAUAGAUCCACAUCUGGAGAACAUAUCAAUAAGAGCAGUUCCUAAAGCAACAGAGAUUCCCAAGCCAAGUCUGCCGAUAAACGUUCGAACCCAACGACCCAAUUCUAAAUCUCCCAAAUGUGAGAUUGCAGAUAUCACACUAAGCAUGGUUACCUCAUCAGGCACUACUUUAUCUUCCAAUUGCAUUUUCUGAAACAAGGCCAAAGCCUCAGAUGCAUGGCCAUUAUUAAGAAAAGAAGCAAUAAUAGUAGACCAAGAAACAGAAUCCCUCUCAGACAUUUCAUCAAACACCUUAACUGCCAUCUCCAAUGACCCACAAUACCCGUAAACACAAAUCAAAGCAUUUUGCACAAAAAUAUCAGAGUCCAAACCAUGCUUAACAAUAAGGGAAUGCAAGUGAAGGUUGAUUUGCAAUCGAGAACAUGCUUUGAGAACAAAAGGGAAUGUGAAAUUAUCAAAAGGGAUGCCGUUGGAACGCAUGGCAAAGAAAUAGGACAAAGAAUGAGAAGGAAAGAGGUGAGAAUGUGAUCGUAUGAUGGUGUUACAAGCGAAAGUAUCUGGAGAAGGAAUUCGAGAGAAUACAUAACGAGUAUAAGAUAAGCUUUCGGGAGCUGUAGCAACACAGGAAAGAAGAAGGGUACGGAGAGAAAGAGGAUCAGUCUGCUUACCACUUUUGAUUAUGUAACAAUGGAGUUUGUAAACACUGUUCAUGAAAGCUUGUACAGUUCAGAGUACAAACCUGAGAAUUACUUCAAGCAUUCAAUGAAAAGUACCGAUCAUUACACUGAAGUAUAGGGUGUCGAUUAUGUUGUUCUUACGAAAUCCGAACAAAAUUUGUUGAUGUUCGGACCUCAAAGACAGAGGAAGAAACUUUGAAUCUAUCCAAGAAUGACGAAUAAUUACUCAAAAGUUGGAUCAAUGGAUAUCAAAAUGAACCUUGAUUUUGUUUAGACAAAACCUUUAAAACCAAAGCUUAGGAUUUUAAUUGACCAAUAGACAAAUAGGUUUAAUAAUGGAUAAUUUUCAUAAAUGUAACCUAACAUAAAAUUAUUUAUGUUUCGGGUAACUAAGUCAAGUUAAAUAUUUUUUAAAUAUUUCAGAUUUU